This 2927-nucleotide ribosomal RNA is filed under the name Escherichia coli. Its description in RNAcentral is "23S ribosomal RNA". It matches the Rfam family "Bacterial large subunit ribosomal RNA". Lineage: Bacteria; Pseudomonadati; Pseudomonadota; Gammaproteobacteria; Enterobacterales; Enterobacteriaceae. The record is from RNAcentral.
GGGUUGUGAGGUUAAGCGACUAAGCGUACACGGUGGAUGCCCUGGCAGUCAGAGGCGAUGAAGGACGUGCUAAUCUGCGAUAAGCGUCGGUAAGGUGAUAUGAACCGUUAUAACCGGCGAUUUCCGAAUGGGGAAACCCAGUGUGUUUCGACACACUAUCAUUAACUGAAUCCAUAGGUUAAUGAGGCGAACCGGGGGAACUGAAACAUCUAAGUACCCCGAGGAAAAGAAAUCAACCGAGAUUCCCCCAGUAGCGGCGAGCGAACGGGGAGGAGCCCAGAGCCUGAAUCAGUGUGUGUGUUAGUGGAAGCGUCUGGAAAGGCGCGCGAUACAGGGUGACAGCCCCGUACACAAAAAUGCACAUAUUGUGAGCUCGAUGAGUAGGGCGGGACACGUGGUAUCCUGUCUGAAUAUGGGGGGACCAUCCUCCAAGGCUAAAUACUCCUGACUGACCGAUAGUGAACCAGUACCGUGAGGGAAAGGCGAAAAGAACCCCGGCGAGGGGAGUGAAAAAGAACCUGAAACCGUGUACGUACAAGCAGUGGGAGCACGCUUAGGCGUGUGACUGCGUACCUUUUGUAUAAUGGGUCAGCGACUUAUAUUCUGUAGCAAGGUUAACCGAAUAGGGGAGCCGAAGGGAAACCGAGUCUUAACUGGGCGUUAAGUUGCAGGGUAUAGACCCGAAACCCGGUGAUCUAGCCAUGGGCAGGUUGAAGGUUGGGUAACACUAACUGGAGGACCGAACCGACUAAUGUUGAAAAAUUAGCGGAUGACUUGUGGCUGGGGGUGAAAGGCCAAUCAAACCGGGAGAUAGCUGGUUCUCCCCGAAAGCUAUUUAGGUAGCGCCUCGUGAAUUCAUCUCCGGGGGUAGAGCACUGUUUCGGCAAGGGGGUCAUCCCGACUUACCAACCCGAUGCAAACUGCGAAUACCGGAGAAUGUUAUCACGGGAGACACACGGCGGGUGCUAACGUCCGUCGUGAAGAGGGAAACAACCCAGACCGCCAGCUAAGGUCCCAAAGUCAUGGUUAAGUGGGAAACGAUGUGGGAAGGCCCAGACAGCCAGGAUGUUGGCUUAGAAGCAGCCAUCAUUUAAAGAAAGCGUAAUAGCUCACUGGUCGAGUCGGCCUGCGCGGAAGAUGUAACGGGGCUAAACCAUGCACCGAAGCUGCGGCAGCGACGCUGAUGCGUUGUUGGGUAGGGGAGCGUUCUGUAAGCCUGCGAAGGUGUGCUGUGAGGCAUGCUGGAGGUAUCAGAAGUGCGAAUGCUGACAUAAGUAACGAUAAAGCGGGUGAAAAGCCCGCUCGCCGGAAGACCAAGGGUUCCUGUCCAACGUUAAUCGGGGCAGGGUGAGUCGACCCCUAAGGCGAGGCCGAAAGGCGUAGUCGAUGGGAAACAGGUUAAUAUUCCUGUACUUGGUGUUACUGCGAAGGGGGGACGGAGAAGGCUAUGUUGGCCGGGCGACGGUUGUCCCGGUUUAAGCGUGUAGGCUGGUUUUCCAGGCAAAUCCGGAAAAUCAAGGCUGAGGCGUGAUGACGAGGCACUACGGUGCUGAAGCAACAAAUGCCCUGCUUCCAGGAAAAGCCUCUAAGCAUCAGGUAACAUCAAAUCGUACCCCAAACCGACACAGGUGGUCAGGUAGAGAAUACCAAGGCGCUUGAGAGAACUCGGGUGAAGGAACUAGGCAAAAUGGUGCCGUAACUUCGGGAGAAGGCACGCUGAUAUGUAGGUGAAGUCCCUUGCGGAUGGAGCUGAAAUCAGUCGAAGAUACCAGCUGGCUGCAACUGUUUAUUAAAAACACAGCACUGUGCAAACACGAAAGUGGACGUAUACGGUGUGACGCCUGCCCGGUGCCGGAAGGUUAAUUGAUGGGGUUAGCCGCAAGGCGAAGCUCUUGAUCGAAGCCCCGGUAAACGGCGGCCGUAACUAUAACGGUCCUAAGGUAGCGAAAUUCCUUGUCGGGUAAGUUCCGACCUGCACGAAUGGCGUAAUGAUGGCCAGGCUGUCUCCACCCGAGACUCAGUGAAAUUGAACUCGCUGUGAAGAUGCAGUGUACCCGCGGCAAGACGGAAAGACCCCGUGAACCUUUACUAUAGCUUGACACUGAACAUUGAGCCUUGAUGUGUAGGAUAGGUGGGAGGCUUAGAAGUGUGGACGCCAGUCUGCAUGGAGCCGACCUUGAAAUACCACCCUUUAAUGUUUGAUGUUCUAACGUUGACCCGUAAUCCGGGUUGCGGACAGUGUCUGGUGGGUAGUUUGACUGGGGCGGUCUCCUCCUAAAGAGUAACGGAGGAGCACGAAGGUUGGCUAAUCCUGGUCGGACAUCAGGAGGUUAGUGCAAUGGCAUAAGCCAGCUUGACUGCGAGCGUGACGGCGCGAGCAGGUGCGAAAGCAGGUCAUAGUGAUCCGGUGGUUCUGAAUGGAAGGGCCAUCGCUCAACGGAUAAAAGGUACUCCGGGGAUAACAGGCUGAUACCGCCCAAGAGUUCAUAUCGACGGCGGUGUUUGGCACCUCGAUGUCGGCUCAUCACAUCCUGGGGCUGAAGUAGGUCCCAAGGGUAUGGCUGUUCGCCAUUUAAAGUGGUACGCGAGCUGGGUUUAGAACGUCGUGAGACAGUUCGGUCCCUAUCUGCCGUGGGCGCUGGAGAACUGAGGGAGGCUGCUCCUAGUACGAGAGGACCGGAGUGGACGCAUCACUGGUGUUCGGGUUGUCAUGCCAAUGGCACUGCCCGGUAGCUAAAUGCGGAAGAGAUAAGUGCUGAAAGCAUCUAAGCACGAAACUUGCCCCGAGAUGAGUUCUCCCUGACUCCUUGAGAGUCCUGAAGGAACGUUGAAGACGACGACGUUGAUAGGCCGGGUGUGUAAGCGCAGCGAUGCGUUGAGCUAACCGGUACUAAUGAACCGUGAGGCUUAACCUUACAACGCCGAAG